RNAcentral lists this ribosomal RNA (279 nucleotides) under uncultured bacterium. RNAcentral's name for it is "partial 16S ribosomal RNA". It matches the Rfam family "Bacterial small subunit ribosomal RNA", at positions 506 to 784 of the family's 1533-position model. The record is from RNAcentral.
UGCCAGCAGCCGCGGUAAUACGAACGGUCCGAGCGUUAAGCGGAAUCACUGGGCUUAAAGCGUGCGUAGGCGGGACGGUAAGUAUCUUGUGAAAGCCCACGGCUCAACCGUGGAAUUGCAGGGUAUACUGCCGUCCUUGAGGAUGGUAGAGGUCGUCGGAACUCUAGGUGUAGCGGUGAAAUGCGUAGAUAUCUAGAGGAACGUCAAUGGCGAAGGCAGACGACUGGGCCAUUUCUGACGCUGAGGCACGAAAGCGUGGGUAGCGAACAGGAUUAGAUA